GACGUAGGGCGCAAGCGUUGUCCGGAUUUAUUGGGCGUAAAGAGCUCGUAGGCGGCUUGUCGCGUCGACUGUGAAAACCCGAGGCUCAACCUCGGGCCUGCAGUGGGUACGGGCAGACUAGAGUGCGGUAGGGGAGAUUGGAAUUCCUGGUGUAGCGGUGGAAUGCGCAGAUAUCAGGAGGAACACCGAUGGCGAAGGCAGAUCUCUGGGCCGUAACUGACGCUGAGGAGCGAAAGCAUGGGGAGCGAACAGG
Molecule: ribosomal RNA, 253 nt
Filed under: uncultured bacterium
Lineage: Bacteria
Description: partial 16S ribosomal RNA
Rfam family: Bacterial small subunit ribosomal RNA
Source: RNAcentral